Panonychus citri (citrus red mite) is the source of this 378-nucleotide long non-coding RNA. RefSeq lists it as uncharacterized. Lineage: Eukaryota; Metazoa; Arthropoda; Arachnida; Trombidiformes; Tetranychidae. The transcript is spliced from 2 exons. The record is from RefSeq and is a predicted model, not a curated record.
AGAGUUUUUCUUACAAAAUGAAAACAAUUUUUAUUUAAUAUCCAUUAAUUUGGUUAUAAAUGAUUAAUUGUGGAUUAAUUCAGUUACUAUUAAGGAACAGGAAUGAUAUUUUCUUCAAGGGCUUCUAGUUAAUCAAUGGGUUCAGCGUUUGUGUUAAUGGGACAAUUAAAGAUUGGAUAAUAAUUCGGAGAGGAAGUUAAUUGUGAACAAUUUACAUCUACAAGAUUGGUGAACAGUAAACUAAGGAUUGGGAGUAUUUUCAUCAUCAAUCAUUAACCAUUGUGAUACAAUUAAGUUACAAGGAUAAUUGAUUGAUGCUAAUUGUUGAUUGUUGAUAUUGUACAGAGUUAAUGGAGUAUUAUAAUCACAGUUGGUGCU